RNAcentral lists this ribosomal RNA (301 nucleotides) under uncultured bacterium. RNAcentral's name for it is "partial 16S ribosomal RNA". It matches the Rfam family "Bacterial small subunit ribosomal RNA", at positions 509 to 807 of the family's 1533-position model. The record is from RNAcentral.
CAGUAGCCGCGGGAAAACAGAGGGUGCAAGCGCUAAUCGGAAUUACUGGGCGUAAAGCGCGCGUAGGUGGUUUGUUAAGUUGGAUGUGAAAGCCCCGGGCUCAACCUGGGAACUGCAUCCAAAACUGGCAAGCUAGAGUACGGUAGAGGGUGGUGGAAUUUCCUGUGUAGCGGUGAAAUGCGUAGAUAUAGGAAGGAACACCAGUGGCGAAGGCGACCACCUGGACUGAUACUGACACUGAGGUGCGAAAGCGUGGGGAGCAAACAGGAUUAGAGACCCCCGUAGUCCCUGUCUCUUAUAC